Sycon ciliatum is the source of this 664-nucleotide long non-coding RNA. RefSeq lists it as uncharacterized. The record is from RefSeq and is a predicted model, not a curated record. NCBI's taxonomy places the organism in Eukaryota, Metazoa, Porifera, Calcarea, Leucosolenida, Sycettidae. The transcript is spliced from 2 exons.
CUCUGUACUGGCCUGUACGGAGGGAGUGAAUCUCAAUGUGUGCAAUGCACGCACUUUGGCCGACAGUGAAAACUAUGCAAGUCGUGUUGGUUUGCAGGAUGAAUGUGAGUCCUUUUAGACAAGCGCCUUAGUGGAGUAGCCCACCGAAAGAAGAGUACUUGACACCGCGAAGUGGAGUCUGCGCAUACAACAGAUUGCCAUCUGUUGAUGAAUACCACUCUGAGGCACUCUCACGAGCGAAGGUGUUUGAGAAUCCAUGUCGGAAUGAUGGUCAUGUUGGCCUAAAGGUGCAUUACAUUGCCGAUACUCGCCACCUCCACCCUGGAACAUGUUCAAUUUCUGUUUCUCGUAUGGAAGGACCGAACAGGUUGUUUUCCUGUCUCAGUGGACCACUCAAGACUGAACAGCACUGAUGGAAGAAGAUUUGCCGUGAAUCUCGUUCACAUAAUCAGCCUGUUUAAUUGCUGUACUGAGGUGACUGCUUCAUAACAAUGACCAUGCAGCAUUAAUUUUGGAUAGUAUUGCAGUGCCCCUAAAAUUGGAGAAUAUCGAAUUUCUCUGAUAGCAUUGUGAUUCAUUUGUGAAUAAACAUCACUACUCUUUUUGAGUAGCAUAGCAAUGACAGAGUUGGUUUAAUGUAUGACAAAAUGGAGCCGCUUUUUAA